Molecule: unclassified non-coding RNA, 226 nt
Filed under: Hevea brasiliensis (rubber tree)
Lineage: Eukaryota; Viridiplantae; Streptophyta; Magnoliopsida; Malpighiales; Euphorbiaceae
Source: RNAcentral
AGAGGGUGAGAAACAAUUUCUCAAAGAGUAGAGAAACACAUUCUCUAGAGAAACAUAUUCUCAAAUAAAGAAAAGAAACAAAUUCUCGAAUUUUAUUAGUAGUCAACAAUAAUAUUAUAAUAAACUCUCCAACUAAAAUACUAGAUUACAUAGGUAUUUAUACUUUAUCAACUAGCUGAUGCAAUCCAGGAAGACUAGAUUCAGGGAUUGUUUUGAUUUAAUCUUU